UGAUGACGAGACGCUAAAGCGUUGAAGCAGUGUAUGUCAGACUUCCAAGAAAAGCUCGCAAUGUCACAAAUAAGAAAUGCCUGUACCAUAACCGACACAGGUGGGUAGGUAGAGUAUACUAAGGGGCGCGAGAUAACUCUCUCUAAGGAACUCGGCAAAAUGACUCCGUAACUUCGGGAGAAGGAGUGCCUUAUUUAUAAGGUUGCAAUAACAAGAUCCAAGCAACUGUUUAUCAAAAACACAGGUCUCCGCUAAGUCGUAAGACGAUGUAUGGGGGCUGACGCCUGCCCAGUGCCAGAAGGUUAAAGAAGUUGGUUAGUGUAUGCGAAGCUGAUGACUGAAGCCCUGGUGAACGGCGGCCGUAACAAUAACGGUCCUAAGGUAGCGAAAUUCCUUGUCGGGUAAGUUCCGACCCGCACGAAAGGCGUAAUGAUUUGGAUACUGUCUCGGAGAGAGGCUCGGUGAAAUAGACUUGUCUGUGAAGAUGCGGACUACCUGCACCAGGACAGAAAGACCCUAUGAAGCUUUACUGUAACUUGAAAUUGGAAUUGGACUUUGCUUGCGCAGUAUAGGUGGGAAGCGUUGAAAAUAUUCUUGCGGGAGUAUUGGAGCUAUCAGUGAGAUACCACUCUUGUAAUGUUAGAUUUCUAACUUUGAACCAUAAUCUGGUCAAAGAACAGUUUCAGGUGGGCAGUUUGACUGGGGCGGUCGCCUCCCAAAUGGUAACGGAGGCGUACAAAGGUUUCCUCUGAACGGAUAGAAAUCGUAUCUAGAGUGUAAAGGCAUAAGGAAGCUUGACUGUGAGACCUACAAGUCGAGCAGGGACGAAAGUCGGUCUUAGUGAUCUGACGGUACUGAGUGGAAAGGCCGUCACUCAACGGAUAAAAGUUACUCUAGGAUAACAGGCUGAUCUCCCCCAAGAGUUCACAUCGACGGGGAGGUUUGGCACCUCGAUGUCGGCUCAUCGCAUCCUGGGGCGGUAGUACGUCCCAAGGGUUGGGCUGUUCGCCCAUGAAAGCGGUACGCGAGCUGGGUUCAGAACGUCGUGAGACAGUUCGGUCCAUAUCCGGUGUAGGCGCUAGAAUAUUGAGAGGAGCCUUCUUUAGUACGAGAGGACCGAGAAGGACACACCGCUGGUGUACCAGUUAUCGUGCCAACGGUAAACGCUGGGUAGCUAUGUGUGGAGUGGAUAACCGCUGAAAGCAUCUAAGUGGGAAGCCCACCUCGAGAUGAGUAUUCGC
This 1241-nucleotide ribosomal RNA is filed under the name metagenome. Its description in RNAcentral is "bacterial LSU rRNA". It matches the Rfam family "Bacterial large subunit ribosomal RNA", at positions 1564 to 2815 of the family's 2925-position model. The record is from RNAcentral.